This 503-nucleotide ribosomal RNA is filed under the name uncultured bacterium. RNAcentral describes it as "partial 16S ribosomal RNA". It matches the Rfam family "Bacterial small subunit ribosomal RNA", at positions 30 to 523 of the family's 1533-position model. The record is from RNAcentral.
AUUGAACGCUGGCGGCAGGCUUAACACAUGCAAGUCGAGCGGGGUGAUGGUGCUUGCACUAUCACUUAGCGGCGGACGGGUGAGUAAUGCUUAGGAAUCUGCCUAUUAGUGGGGGACAACAUCUCGAAAGGGAUGCUAAUACCGCAUACGUCCUACGGGAGAAAGCAGGGGAUCACUUGUGACCUUGCGCUAAUAGAUGAGCCUAAGUCGGAUUAGCUAGUUGGUGGGGUAAAGGCCUACCAAGGCGACGAUCUGUAGCGGGUCUGAGAGGAUGAUCCGCCACACUGGGACGGAGACACGGCCCAGACUCCUACGGGAGGCAGCAGUGGGGAAUAUUGGACAAUGGGUGGAACCCUGAUCCAGCCAUGCCGCGUGUGUGAAGAAGGCCUUAUGGUUGUAAAGCACUUUAAGCGAGGAGGAGGCUCUUUUGGUUAAUACCCAAGAUGAGUGGACGUUACUCGCAGAAUAAGCACCGGCUAACUACGUGCCAGCCGCCGCAGUAA